This 460-nucleotide ribosomal RNA is filed under the name uncultured bacterium. RNAcentral describes it as "partial 16S ribosomal RNA". It matches the Rfam family "Bacterial small subunit ribosomal RNA", at positions 338 to 795 of the family's 1533-position model. The record is from RNAcentral.
CCUACGGGUGGCAGCAGUGAGGAAUAUUGGUCAAUGGACGAGAGUCUGAACCAGCCAAGUAGCGUGAAGGAUGACUGCCCUAUGGGUUGUAAACUUCUUUUAUAAAGGAAUAAAACGAGGCACGUGUGCCUUUUUGCAUGUACUUUAUGAAUAAGGAUCGGCUAACUCCGUGCCAGCAGCCGCGGUAAUACGGAGGAUCCGAGCGUUAUCCGGAUUUAUUGGGUUUAAAGGUAGCGUAGAUGGGUUGUUAAGUCAGUUGUGAAAGUUUGCGGCUCAACCGUAAAAUUGCAAUUGAUACUGGCAGUCUUGAGUGUAGUUGAGGUAGGCGGAAUUCGUGGUGUAGCGGUGAAAUGCUUAGAUAUCACGAAGAACCUCGAUUGCGAAGGCAGCUUACUAAACUGUGACUGACAUUGAUGCUCGAAAGUGUGGGUAGCAAACAGGAUUAGAUACCCUGGUAGUC